CGGCGGCGCUGUACUGCAUGAACGAGGCGGAGCUGGUGGAGGUGGCCCUGGCGGUCCUGGCCGAGAGGAGUGACGUGGUUCCCCAGCAGGAUGUUGGAUAUGCUGACCCAAAGGAUSAUGCCUGGCUUCUAAGUUCCCAUCUGCUUGGCAUGGUGUGAUUCCAACUUCUACAGCUCCUUCUCACACUGUUUAUCAAUCGGAAGAUGAAGCACAGAGCAAUUACAUGAUGUCCCCAUGAUUACAUACUGACUAAUUUCUAAUCUAGGAGCAAAAUCUGUUCCCCCGGCAUGCUAGGCAGAUGAACCCAUGUAGGCUGAGUGUACAUGCAUAUACAGCUAGUUGCACACAGCAAUACACCCCUGUACCUUUAUGCAUAUUUGUGGAUAAACUGAUCUUAAUGUAUGCUCACACGUGUUUAGAAAUAGUGCGCAAAUAGCUACACAAUGUACAUGCAGUCUGGUGUUUAACUAAAAAUAAACCCACAAAAGAGACUGAGCUAAUCUCAACUAUUCUCAGCAGGAAUGAGUGCAGUAACACUAGUUACAAUUGCACUCUACACAGUCGCUAAAACCAAGGCAAUUUCAAACCAAGUUGUGAGUGAACAGUAACCUCAACCCACAUGUCCUCCCAGUGAAACUGUGUUCUGGUCUCCCAGUAUAAACUGGGAAGCCUACUGAAAUAAGAGAGUCCAGACAGCAAAGAAACCAAGACAAAAAGAUGAUGGACAAGACAGAGGGCCUACCCCAAAGCUUCCCAUAGUUAAUACAUCCAACUCUUCACAGCUUCCCCUGGACAGGACUGCCUACAUGAACAAUAUGAGCCACCAUAAAGUGGCACUGUAGUUGAAAGAAUUUGCUUUGUCCUUUCCUCCUCCUUGUCCCACUCAGCCACUGGUGCUGGCAUAAAGCUUUAGCCAUAUUUAUCCAUCAUGAACAAGUAUGGGAAAACCUAUCUGUGUUGAAAACUCAGCAGUAUSUACUUAGGCAUUUGCUUACAUAUUUUUUUUCUCUGGUACCAUUUAAACUCAUCUCAGYACUUUAUUCAAGUCAGUUUCCUUGUGCUGGCCCAAGGGGAGGGUUAGUGUAGCAGUGAAAAAGAGUAGCAGAGAGUAAAAUAUUUUUUCCUGAUGGUGAAAGCAAUUCAUGGAAGCUUAAAAUGUUUCUGAGGCUCUAGCCCUGAUAAAUGGGAAUCCAGUGUCAGACACAUGCUCUGUUUGUCCCUUGAAAUACAAGAGGUAAGAAUCAUUGUGCCACCCAUAGCCUAAAAGCAAUGUCYGGCUGGAAAAAUCAAUCUCCCUCUUCUGAGACCUGUCCAUCCCUAAAGAAGAGCCCUUUUCCUCAGUUGUUUACAUCCUUUAAAAAUUUGGAUCCAAUAAAGUUUUUUUAAUGGACGUGAGGAUCCGGGCCUGUGAAUUAAAGCCCACUGGCAAUAAAUAUGCUUUGCUUAUUUUGCUUCUGUAAAUGCAUAAGAGCAGCCUAUCAGUUGUUGCAGGUCCAGAUAUGUUGCUUGCAAACCAAUGAUCUAAUUUGUUGUGCACUGAGGACUGUGUACGUGAAGGAUUUGUGACUGAUGAACUAAAUGGGCACUCCAUGAGUGGUAAAGAAAGAGGAAAUCUGCUGGUAUUUCAGAAAGGAAGCUGUGUAACAUCUUUCAGAUAAUUUAAGCAACCAUGAGAAACGAGAGCUUGUUCUUCCAGAGGUAGCUGAUUUUUGAAACUGCUUGUGUGAGAACGGCUAGGAGUUGGAAACAAUAAGCUYAUUAAGUGCAGCAGGUAGCAGGAAAAAUGAGGUUCAUAACGACCUCCAUUUGCAAUACCCCUUCCCACGUAUGCAGGAAUACACAACCUGAUUCUCGGAUAUUUUAAUCGGUACAUUUCAGCGACACUUUUUGACACCGACCUUAAUUACAUCAAAAAAAUAAAACAAAAUAAAAGCCCGGGGAGAAAAACAAAGCCAUUACCCCCUUGGCUCCCAGGCACAGCAGCCCKCCCCGAGAGCCCGAAGCCGCGCACGGCGAGCACUCCCGCGCCCGUGGCCGGGCUCCGCUUCGCAGACAAAGCCCUGUGCACCUCUGUGCAAAAAGAGCGCAGCGCGGCGCCGGGCGGGCGGGAGCGCAGACAAAGCGGGGCAGGCGGUGGAGCGCCGCAGCAUGCGGGGCCGCGCAGGGCUUCCUCUGCGGGUGGGCUGCUGCUGCCGCGGCUCCUCUUUUUUU
Malurus melanocephalus (red-backed fairy wren) is the source of this 2211-nucleotide RNA transcript. It is a transcript of the gene named cell cycle regulator of NHEJ, with no coding region annotated. The transcript is spliced from 2 exons. The record is from RefSeq and is a predicted model, not a curated record. Lineage: Eukaryota; Metazoa; Chordata; Aves; Passeriformes; Maluridae.